AUACGUAGGGGGCGAGCGUUGUCCGGAAUGAUUGGGCGUAAAGGGCGCGUAGGCGGCGCGGUAAGUCUGGAGUGAAAGUCCUGCUUUCAAGGUGGGAAUUGCUUUGGAUACUGCCGCGCUUGAGUGCAGGAGAGGUUAUCGGAAUUCCCGGUGUAGCGGUGAAAUGCGUAGAGAUCGGGAGGAACACCAGUGGCGAAGGCGGGUAACUGGACUGCAACUGACGCUGAGGCGCGAAAGUGUGGGGAGCAAACAGGAUUAGAUACCCUGGUAGUCCACACUGUAAACGAUGAAUGCUAGGUGUAAGAGGUAUCGACCCCUUUUGUGCCGGAGUCAACACAAUAAGCAUUCCGCCUGGGGAGUACGGCCGCAAGGUUGAAACUCAAAGAAUUGACGGGG
This 396-nucleotide ribosomal RNA is filed under the name uncultured bacterium. RNAcentral describes it as "partial 16S ribosomal RNA". It matches the Rfam family "Bacterial small subunit ribosomal RNA", at positions 523 to 918 of the family's 1533-position model. The record is from RNAcentral.